This 547-nucleotide long non-coding RNA is filed under the name Homo sapiens (human). Its description in RNAcentral is "non-protein coding lnc-SPERT-3:1". Lineage: Eukaryota; Metazoa; Chordata; Mammalia; Primates; Hominidae. The record is from RNAcentral.
GUAUUUUUAGUAGAGACGGGGUUUCACCAUGUUGGCCAGGCUGGUCUUGAACUACUGGUCUCAAGUGACCCGCCUGCCUCAGCCUCCCAAAGUGCUGGGAUUACAGGCAUAAGCCACUACGCCUGGCCUAAUUUUGUAUCUUUUGAAGCAAUCUAAGGCCAAUCACAAAGAGUGGCUGCUCACUCCCUUGCCUGAUGUGGCCUAUUUAAGCCCUUUGUCUGCCAGCCAGGAGGACUUGAAGGAGAAGGAGAAAGCCUCCUGGAGCAACCUCUCCAUGGAUGAAAAAGUUGAGUUGUGUUGCAUUCAGUUCAACAGGAGCUUUUCUGGGAUAAACAGGGGCAUGAAAAAGUGGAAGAUGGUUGUGGGCACUGCCAUGUUCUUUGGCUUCACAGCUCUUGUUCUGAUCCGGGAGAAACACUGUGUAUGGUCUCAUCCCACACGGCUUUGAUGAAGAGUGUGGGCAUGCAGACCAAGAGGAUGCUAGACAUGAAGUCAGUCCCAUCUAGGACUUCUCUGCCAACUGGUACUACAACAAGAACCAAUGGAA